UCAGAUUGUGGUUUGACCUAUGCU
RNAcentral lists this non-coding RNA (24 nucleotides) under Arabidopsis thaliana (thale cress). Lineage: Eukaryota; Viridiplantae; Streptophyta; Magnoliopsida; Brassicales; Brassicaceae. The record is from RNAcentral.